UACAGAGGGUGCGAGCGUUAAUCGGAAUUACUGGGCGUAAAGCGCACGUAGGCGGCUUUGUAAGUUAGAGGUGAAAGCCCGGGGCUCAACUCCGGAACUGCCUUUAAGACUGCAUCGCUUGAAUCCAGGAGAGGUGAGUGGAAUUCCGAGUGUAGAGGUGAAAUUCGUAGAUAUUCGGAAGAACACCAGUGGCGAAGGCGGCUCACUGGACUGGUAUUGACGCUGAGGUGCGAAAGCGUGGGGAGCAAACAGG
RNAcentral lists this ribosomal RNA (253 nucleotides) under uncultured bacterium. RNAcentral's name for it is "partial 16S ribosomal RNA". It matches the Rfam family "Bacterial small subunit ribosomal RNA", at positions 524 to 776 of the family's 1533-position model. The record is from RNAcentral.